RNAcentral lists this unclassified non-coding RNA (606 nucleotides) under Hevea brasiliensis (rubber tree). Lineage: Eukaryota; Viridiplantae; Streptophyta; Magnoliopsida; Malpighiales; Euphorbiaceae. The record is from RNAcentral.
GUAAUAUCAGAUGUGAGCACAGAAAAACUGCAGUGUAUAUUAUGCUAUGUUGGUUGCCUAUGACGCCAAGUAUAUACCAUAAACUCAUUGGUGAGACAGAUAACUUGGUACUCAAUACAUAAAGAGGAUAGCAUAGUAAAUGAAUGCUUUAAUACAUGUUAUCCCCAAUAUCAUUUAGAGCCAUAGAUUUAUACUAGGUAUAUGAGAAAUGAAAAUUGGAUAUAACUCAGACCACUCAGGGCAAGAGCAAACUGGUCAUUUGAGUGCAGAUCACCCCAUGAGCCCAUUUCAGCUUCUCUAGAUAUAAUUCUGCGUAACUACGUAAACUUGCCUUGGAAAAUGGAUAGGGAAUAAAUGAAGACAUAAAUGAUAAUAUUCUAACCAUUUAGUGUCACAAAUUUCUAAAAGAUUAACCCUGCAUUACGCUAAUUCAUCAUAAAGAAGCCCAUGUCACAAUAAAGCUCAAUUCUUUAUUCCAUCAAGCAAGCAAAUUCUAGCAUAAAACUCAUAUUUCAUAAUAAUAACCAAUAUUGUUGCUGACAAACCAAGCAUCAACAGCCACUUGACAACUCACAUAACUUAGCUUAGGCUCGCUGGUAGGCCAGC